UGGGGAAUUUUGGACAAUGGGGGAAACCCUGAUCCAGCCAUCCCGCGUGUGCGAUGAAGGCCUUCGGGUUGUAAGGCACUUUUGGCAGGAAAGAAACGUCAUGGGUUAAUACCCCGUGAAACUGACGGUACCUGCAGAAUAAGCACCGGCUAACUACGUGCCAGCAGCCUCGGUAAUACGUAGGGUGCAAGCGUUAAUCGGAAUUACUGGGCGUAAAGCGUGCGCAGGCGGUUCGGAAAGAAAGAUGUGAAAUCCCAGAGCUCAACUUUGGAACUGCAUUUUUAACUACCGGGCUAGAGUGUGUCAGAGGGAGGUGGAAUUCCGCGUGUAGCAGUGAAAUGCGUAGAUAUGCGGAGGAACACCGAUGGCGAAGGCAGCCUCCUGGGAUAACACUGACGCUCAUGCACGAAAGCGUGGGGAGCAAACAGG
RNAcentral lists this ribosomal RNA (429 nucleotides) under Acidobacteriota bacterium. Its description in RNAcentral is "Acidobacteria bacterium partial 16S ribosomal RNA". It matches the Rfam family "Bacterial small subunit ribosomal RNA", at positions 355 to 776 of the family's 1533-position model. Lineage: Bacteria; Pseudomonadati; Acidobacteriota. The record is from RNAcentral.